RNAcentral lists this small RNA (1226 nucleotides) under Arabidopsis thaliana (thale cress). RNAcentral's name for it is "ATSL031260". The record is from RNAcentral. Lineage: Eukaryota; Viridiplantae; Streptophyta; Magnoliopsida; Brassicales; Brassicaceae.
AAAAAAGGUUGAUUCAUUGAUAAGAAAAGGUAAAAGACUCUAGGUGAAGUAAGCUAAAGAAGCAGAAAAAGUCUAGUAAAGGUUUCGGGAUUUGUAAAGAAAAGAAAGAGUUCUUGUUAUCUAUUGAAGAUGGGAAAAGCCCUUGGUUUUAAAAUGUUAAAAACAGGAACCUUAGUUGUUAAAGAAAUCCAAAUCCGCUAGAUGUAUCAAAGUGCUGAGAAAGCUUCUCCUAGAGUUAAGAGAAAAGAAAAGAAUGAUUAGAAAAAGGGCUUAAAAGAUUCAUGAAUGCAAAUGGUAGAGUUAAGUUCUUAUAUUGGGAUUGGAGAUGGGAUUACCAUUAGAGCUUCAUUUGAGAUACUCUGGGUAGAUGGGAUCGUAUCUUUGUAUGCAUAGCUUGAGACUUACCUUUAGCAUUCUACUAAAGCUUAAUCAUUUUUUGAGAGAUCCCCUGUUACUGAAGCCUAUUCUGUAAGGGACCAUCUUUGUCUCUUGACCUUUUACCUUAGCCAAAUGAGUUCAUUGAUGAUGCAUUGCUUGAUUCACGUUCCAGAACUAAUGAAUGUUAAAGGGAUUGGUAGAUUUGAAAACAUGUGUAGGUCGAGCAUAUGAGUCGGAUUGAUUGAUAAUGAGGCAUGGCUAACGUUUUUAAGUAGAAUUAGAUCUUGCAGCUUAGAACUUUCAACUUGGACAUUGAUUUCAUCUGGUUUAUCUGGUGCUUUGGCUCUGAGUCCCCGUUUUCAAACCUCACCUCCAGCUUGUUCUUGAUUGUUUGCUUGAGGGCAAGCAAAGACUAAGUUUGGGGGAGUUGAUAAGUGUGUAUUUUGCAUGUUUUGAGUAUCCAUUUGUCAUCACUUUAGCAUCAUAUCGUCACUGUUUUAUACCAUUUCUCAACAUUUGUCAUCACUUUAUAUGUUUAGGAUAGAUUUGCAUGCAUGUUGCAUAUUUGUGUUGAUUUCAGGUGAUUUGGAGCUAUUGACGAGCUAACUGGAAGAAGCGGACCUGAUCAUGACAAAUCACUCGACCCAGAGAUCGAGUAGGAGCUUCAAGAUCUCAAGAGACCACUCGACCCCAAGAUCGAGUAGAAGAAAUCACCACUUCACCUCACCACUCGACCACGAGGUCGAGUGUCCUCAUCUCCAUCACCUGAUCAUCACUCGAUCACAUCACUCGACCCCAAGGUUGAGUGUCUUCACCUCCAUUACCAGACCACUACUCGACCACACCAC